GCCGGGAUGGCGGAAUUGGCAGACGCAAGGGACUUAAAAUCCCUCGUCCCUAAAGGAUGUGCCGGUUCGACUCCGGCUCCCGGCACCA
Molecule: transfer RNA, 88 nt
Filed under: Candidatus Omnitrophota bacterium
Lineage: Bacteria; Pseudomonadati; Candidatus Omnitrophota
Description: Candidatus Omnitrophica bacterium tRNA-Leu
Rfam family: tRNA
About the family: Transfer RNA (tRNA) molecules are approximately 80 nucleotides in length. Their secondary structure includes four short double-helical elements and three loops (D, anti-codon, and T loops).
Source: RNAcentral